Molecule: ribosomal RNA, 305 nt
Filed under: uncultured bacterium
Lineage: Bacteria
Description: bacterial SSU rRNA
Rfam family: Bacterial small subunit ribosomal RNA
Source: RNAcentral
GUUUCCUACGGGACGCAGCAGUGAGGAAUAUUGGUCAAUGGGCGCGAGCCUGAACCAGCCAAGUCGCGUGAGGGAGGACGGCCCUACGGGUUGUAAACCUCUUUUGCCGGGGAGUAACGGGCGUCACGUGUGGCGCCACUGAGAGUACCCGGAGAAAAAGCAUCGGCUAACUCCGUGCCAGCAGCCGCGGUAAUACGGAGGAUGCGAGCGUUAUCCGGAUUUAUUGGGUUUAAAGGGUGCGUAGGCGGUCCGUUAAGUCAGCGGUAAAAUUGCGGGGCUCAACCCCGUCGAGCCGUUGAAACUGG